UUAAACAUCCAUACCACGUUAAAUACACCGGUUCUCGUCCGUUCACCGAAGUUAAGCAACGUCGGGCGCGGUCAGUACCUACUUGGAUGGGUGACCGCCUGGGAACACCGCGUGACGUUGGUU
Molecule: ribosomal RNA, 123 nt
Filed under: Melitaea cinxia (Glanville fritillary)
Lineage: Eukaryota; Metazoa; Arthropoda; Insecta; Lepidoptera; Nymphalidae
Source: RNAcentral